AUUAGCUAGUAGGUGGGGUAACGGCUCACCUAGGCGACGAUCCCUAGCUGGUCUGAGAGGAUGACCAGCCACACUGGAACUGAGACACGGUCCAGACUCCUACGGGAGGCAGCAGUGGGGAAUAUUGCACAAUGGGCGCAAGCCUGAUGCAGCCAUGCCGCGUGUAUGAAGAAGGCCUUCGGGUUGUAAAGUACUUUCAGCGGGGAGGAAGGGAGUAAAGUUAAUAC
RNAcentral lists this ribosomal RNA (227 nucleotides) under Escherichia coli. RNAcentral's name for it is "partial 16S ribosomal RNA". It matches the Rfam family "Bacterial small subunit ribosomal RNA", at positions 240 to 466 of the family's 1533-position model. Lineage: Bacteria; Pseudomonadati; Pseudomonadota; Gammaproteobacteria; Enterobacterales; Enterobacteriaceae. The record is from RNAcentral.